CGCUGGCGGCGUGCCUAACACAUGCAAGUCGAGCGGGGACUUACGGAAUGAAGCUUCGGCAGAAUGAAGUAAGUUCUAGCGGCGGACGGGUGAGUAACGCGUGAGCAACCUGCCUAUCACUGGGGAAUAACGCAUCGAAAGGUGUGCUAAUACCGCAUGAGACCACAGAGGGACAUCCCUUAGGGGGUCAAAGAUUUAUCGGUGUGAGAUGGACCCGCGUUGGAUUAGCUAGUUGGCAGGGUAACGGCCUACCAAGGCGACGAUCCAUAGCCGGCCUGAGAGGGUGAACGGCCACAGUUGGGACUGAGACACGGCCCAAACUCCUACGGGAGGCAGCAGGUGGGGAAUAUUGCACAAUGGGGGAAACCCUGAUGCAGCGACGCCGCGUGAGCGAAGAAGUAUUUCGGUAUGUAAAGCUCUAUCAGCAGGGAAGAAAAUGACGGUACCUGACUAAGAAGCCCCGGCUAACUACGUG
This 475-nucleotide ribosomal RNA is filed under the name uncultured bacterium. Its description in RNAcentral is "bacterial SSU rRNA". It matches the Rfam family "Bacterial small subunit ribosomal RNA", at positions 34 to 507 of the family's 1533-position model. The record is from RNAcentral.